GCCUAAUGCUAGGGAAUUUCAACACAGUAAGCACAUGCUUUGUUAACCUUUCCCUCUUUCUCCAGCAUUUUCUUGGGACUUUUUCUCAUAACAAUACCACGGCAUUUCCUGCUGCAUUGCCUGUGAUAAGAGCAUAUGGAUCUGAGAGAAACGAAGGGGAAGUAAAAGAAAUGCAGGCAGCUGUGAAGACUGGAAAAAUAAGACUACCCUACGCUCCCCAAGAACGCAGAGAUACAGAGAAGACAUCAUGAGUUCCUACCAGGUUUUUGUCCCAGGCUGCAGAAAAUGAAAGAGGAAGUAUCAGCAAUAGCUCUGUUAGCCAUUCUUUAAAGUCACAUGGGGAAUCUAGCACAUUGCCAUGGGUCUGGGUAAACAGGAAGCCCAAAUCAGCCCACUCACAUUGCUAGCUGUACUUGGCGCUGGCUCCCAUCUGGACAUAUACCAACGGCAGACUGGAAGAACCCCAUGCUAAAUCCUAGAAGUGUCUCAGAAGCAUUUCCAGUCCUCAGAAAAAUGACACAUACAGAAGGUAUCUACCCCACUGUUGUGUAAUCGAGAGAAGCUGGAGGAACAAUAGAUUGGUAUGCUGCCAAACUGCACAGAAAAUGGCUGACUCAUGUCAGUAUGAAAUCUUAAGACCUGAAGUAAUUAGUGGUAGACUUGUGAGUGGGAAAAAAGUGCAAUGAGACUGCUGAAAGAAAAGCUGUCCUCACUGCUGGUAAACUGCAGGUGUGUCUAAAGCUGCUGCAAGGGCACAGCCAAAAACAGAGCUGAAGUGGAGCUGACAUAGUCAGGUAGAACAGAGAAGCGUAAAAAACCAUCAAAAGCAAAUGCAUAAAUAUGAAGCAGAGGACAUCAGGGAAGAGUUUUGGUGCUGUUAGAAAAAUGUGCACAGCAUAGGAAAAUUUGCAUGGUGAUGAUAUUAAUACUGUGCAAAAGGGCAAAAAUAAAACUUCUGAGCUGUGUGCCA
Molecule: long non-coding RNA, 970 nt
Filed under: Numida meleagris (helmeted guineafowl)
Lineage: Eukaryota; Metazoa; Chordata; Aves; Galliformes; Numididae
Description: lncRNA (ENSNMEG00000017582.1)
Source: RNAcentral